RNAcentral lists this ribosomal RNA (441 nucleotides) under uncultured bacterium. RNAcentral's name for it is "bacterial SSU rRNA". It matches the Rfam family "Bacterial small subunit ribosomal RNA", at positions 355 to 796 of the family's 1533-position model. The record is from RNAcentral.
UGGGGAAUCUUGCGCAAUGGCCGAAAGGCUGACGCAGCGACGCCGCGUGUGGGAGGACGCCUUUCGGGGUGUAAACCACUGUUGCCCGGGACGAACACGCUCUUUCGAGAGCGCUGACGGUACCGGGUGAGGAAGCACCGGCUAACUCCGUGCCAGCAGCCGCGGUAAUACGGAGGGUGCGAGCGUUGUCCGGAAUCAUUGGGCGUAAAGGGCGCGUAGGUGGCCCGGUCAGUCAGUGGUGAAAGCGCGGGGCUCAACUCCGCGUCGGCCAUUGAUACUGCUGGGCUGGAGCACUGUAGAGGCAGGCGGAAUUCCGGGUGUAGCGGUGGAAUGCGUAGAGAUCCGGAAGAACACCGGUGGCGAAGGCGGCCUGCUGGGCAGUUGCUGACACUGAGGCGCGACAGCGUGGGGAGCAAACAGGAUUAGAUACCCCCGUAGUCC